CCUACGGGUGGCAGCAGUGAGGAAUAUUGGUCAAUGGGCGAGAGCCUGAACCAGCCAAGUCGCGUGAAGGAUGACGGCCCUACGGGUUGUAAACUUCUUUUGUCAGGGAGCAAUUGAGUCCACGUGUGGUCUUAGCGAGAGUACCUGAAGAAAAAGCAUCGGCUAACUCCGUGCCAGCAGCCGCGGUAAUACGGAGGAUUCGAGCGUUAUCCGGAUUUAUUGGGUUUAAAGGGAGCGUAGGUGGAUUGUUAAGUCAGUUGUGAAAGUUUGCGGCUCAACCGUAAGAUUGCAGUUGAAACUGGCAGUCUUGAGUACGGUAGAGGUGGGCGGAAUGCGUGGUGUAGCGGUGAAAUGCUUAGAUAUCACGAAGAACUCCGAUUGCGAAGGCAGCUCACUGGACUGCAACUGACGCUGAGGCUCGAAAGUGUGGGUAUCGAACAGGAUUAGAUACCCUUGUAGUC
This 461-nucleotide ribosomal RNA is filed under the name uncultured bacterium. RNAcentral's name for it is "partial 16S ribosomal RNA". It matches the Rfam family "Bacterial small subunit ribosomal RNA", at positions 338 to 795 of the family's 1533-position model. The record is from RNAcentral.